This is a long non-coding RNA of Rhipicephalus sanguineus (brown dog tick), 340 nucleotides long. RefSeq lists it as uncharacterized. The transcript is spliced from 2 exons. The record is from RefSeq and is a predicted model, not a curated record. Lineage: Eukaryota; Metazoa; Arthropoda; Arachnida; Ixodida; Ixodidae.
ACGACUAGUUGCUCACUCGUCGCCUCUCUCACUUUGUUGAUAAUCUGACGGCAUUCCCCCGGGAUAUUGACUAAAAAGGUGCCCAUUCCAGUUCCCUGAUGGAUCUGCGGAGUCGGAUAUCUGGCACUGCGGAGAACCGAGCUGAUUGCAGUACCAGCACUCUGAAGAAGUUUCGAGGCAAGGCAAGACUGACUUCACGUGUGGAGUGGAAUCAUGUUGAUAUUCGGUGCAACUUUGGUGUGCUCACUGUGUUCAGUCAAAAAACAUUUACUGAUACAUUGAUUUAUAGUCAGCUGCCUGCUCCUGAAAUAUAGAAAUCUUGUGGUUCUCUUGGGCAGAA